UCUGAGCUGGUGUAUUUAGGCAUGUAAGACUUUCAAUCUUGUGGAGAGUAAUUUUUUUCUCGCUCAGAU
This 69-nucleotide transfer RNA is filed under the name Magallana nippona (Iwagaki oyster). RNAcentral describes it as "tRNA-Glu". Lineage: Eukaryota; Metazoa; Mollusca; Bivalvia; Ostreida; Ostreidae. The record is from RNAcentral.